Molecule: non-coding RNA, 905 nt
Organism: Leptonychotes weddellii (Weddell seal)
Lineage: Eukaryota; Metazoa; Chordata; Mammalia; Carnivora; Phocidae
Source: RefSeq, a predicted model, not a curated record
GGCUCCUGUCUUCAUGGGGCCUGGGAAAUUCCCUCUAAGGGAGGUGGGGACCAUGGCCAUAUGUAGGUUUAUCGACCACCUUGCAGGGAGAAGACGUAGGAAGGUAGGACGGCAAGUAACUGGCUCAUGCUGUGACCUUGGAUGAGAAGCUGAAGGGCAGAGGUGAAGUAACUCACCUAAAGGAACACAGGCAAGGUUCUGAACCCAAGCAAUCUGGCUCCCAUCUGCCUGUCAACCGCGGUACCUCCUGCCACUGGGGCCACCGUCGCUUUGUCCUUGAUGAAGCAUUCGCUGAGUGGAGACACCGUGCUGAGCAUUCUGCACAGUCUCUGCUGGUAGCUUCCCCUGACUGAUCCAAACCCAGAGGACAAAUGAGCCGGCUGAUGCCAUCAUCCAUCAGGCCAGCCAAUGGGGCAGGGUGGGGCCAGGCGGAGAGCAGACGGAGAGUGCCCAGCGGACCGACGUUGAAUUCCUGCUGCCACGCUACCCUGCUGGCGGGGCCAGGCUACCGGAGCAGCGGACGGGAUCGUGGCUGUGAUGGCAGGGGGAACACUCCUGAAAGAAAACCUGCCCGCCUCAUGCCUGACAUCCGCCCUUAGUAAUCCAUAACGCUACUGAGCAUUGCCCUCCUCCCCUGCUUCCAAAAUGUAGGAGCCCCAAAGGAGGGCUCUACACUGAGUCAGUAAUGCUAGCAGGAGGGAGUCUGGCAAUUCUUAGAUCACGGGGCCCUGGGGGAACGUCAGGGAUUACUCAGGAAAGUCUGCGGAGCCUGUUUGCCCUAAUCAGCAAACAUUUACUGAGCACCUAUUAAGUGCUAGUCCUGGGCGGGGAGGCUAUUUCCAACAGCCAGUAAGGAUGUGCUAAGUCUUUUCUGCAAUUUUUUUUUAAGAUUUUAUUUAUUUAUG